AUACGUAGGGGGCAUGCGUUAUCCGGAUUUACUGGGUGUAAAGGGAGCGUAGGCGGCAAGGCAAGUCUGAUGUGAAAACCCGGGGCUCAACCCCGGGACUGCAUUGGAAACUGCUUAGCUAGAGUGUCGGAGAGGUAAGUGGAAUUCCUAGUGUAGCGGUGAAAUGCGUAGAUAUUAGGAGGAACACCAGUGGCGAAGGCGACUUACUGGACGAUAACUGACGCUGAGGCUCGAUAGCGUGGGGAGC
This 247-nucleotide ribosomal RNA is filed under the name uncultured bacterium. RNAcentral describes it as "partial 16S ribosomal RNA". It matches the Rfam family "Bacterial small subunit ribosomal RNA", at positions 523 to 769 of the family's 1533-position model. The record is from RNAcentral.